GAUGAACGCUGACAGAAUGCUUAACACAUGCAAGUCUACUUGAGCUUCGGUUUGGGUGGCGGACGGGUGAGUCACGCGUAAAGAACUUGCCUCACAGAUAGGGACAACAUUUGGAAACGAAUGCUAAUACCUGAUAUUAUGAUUUUAGGGCAUCCUAGAAUUAUGAAAGCUAUAUGCACUGUGAGAGAGCUUUGCGUCCCAUUAGCUAGUUGGAGAGGUAACGGCUCACCAAGGCGAUGAUGGGUAGCCGGCCUGAGAGGGUGAUCGGCCACAAGGGGACUGAGACACGGCCCUUACUCCUACGGGAGGCAGCAGUGGGGAAUAUUGGACAAUGGACCAAGAGUCUGAUCCAGCAAUUCUGUGUGCACGAUGAAGUUUUUCGGAAUGUAAAGUGCUUUCAGUUGGGAAGAAAAAAAUGACGGUACCAACAGAAGAAGUGACGGCUAAAUACGUG
Molecule: ribosomal RNA, 454 nt
Filed under: uncultured bacterium
Lineage: Bacteria
Description: partial 16S ribosomal RNA
Rfam family: Bacterial small subunit ribosomal RNA
Source: RNAcentral